UGAGCCUACGGGGCGCAGCAGUGGGGGAUAUUGCACAAUGGGGGAAACCCUGAUGCAGCGACGCCGCGUGGGUGAAGAAGCGCCUCGGCGCGUAAAGCCCUGUCAGCAGGGAAGAAAAUGACGGUACCUGAAGAAGAAGCCCCGGCUAACUACGUGCCAGCAGCCGCGGUAAUACGUAGGGGGCAAGCGUUAUCCGGAUUCACUGGGUGUAAAGGGAGCGUAGACGGCAGCGCAAGUCUGGAGUGAAAUGCCGGGGCCCAACCCCGGAACUGCUUUGGAAACUGUGCGGCU
RNAcentral lists this ribosomal RNA (291 nucleotides) under uncultured bacterium. RNAcentral describes it as "partial 16S ribosomal RNA". It matches the Rfam family "Bacterial small subunit ribosomal RNA", at positions 333 to 642 of the family's 1533-position model. The record is from RNAcentral.